UGUCUAUGGGACUCCAUUUCCCACAGGAACAACUGUCCUGCAUAGUUCCUAUCUCACGCAGAUGCUGUCUUCGGUGCCUAGGUUUUGGGUUUAUCGUCAGUUUCCUCCUCUCCAAGCAUGCAAUAUGGCCAAGACAAUAGCCAGGGACAAGCCAGUGAGUACUUUGAAUGUACUCGCACACAUCAUGAAAAUAAACAUAAAUUGGCAGGGGUUAAUAUGCACUUGCAAUAAUACCACAAUAUUAUAUCAACCAUAAUACACUUCCCAAGUAGUAGUAAUGGAAUUUUUAUCAUACUGAGAAAGUAAUAAGAAAUUAAUAAGAGUAUGAUUAAUGGAUGUGAUAUAAAACAUGCCCCUGUCGCGGGCGUCUGAGCGACACCACAAACAGGGCUUGAAUAAAAUAAUAACAAGCAUGCCACUGUCGGGCUCUAAGCGACACCACAUAAAGGGCUUAUAUAUGAAAUAAUAAACAUGCCGCAGUCGGGCGUCUAAGCGACACCACAUAAAGGGUUUAUAUGAAAUAAUAAACAUGCCGCAGUCGGGCAUCUAAGCGACACCACAUAAAGGGCUUAUAUGAAAUAAUAAACAUAUCGUAGUCGGGCGUCUAAGCGACACCACAUAAAGGGCGUAUAUUAAAUAAUAAACAUGACGCAGUCGGGCAUCUAAGCGUCACCACGUAAAGGCCUUAUAUGAAAUAAUAAACAUGCCGCAGUCGGGCGUCUAAGCAACACCACAUAAAGGGCUUAUAUGAAAUAAUAAACAUGCCACAGCCGGGCAUCUAAGCGACAUCAUAUAAAGGGCUCAUAUGAAAUAACAAACAUGCCGCAGUCGGGCGUCUAAGCGACACCACAUAAAGGGAUUAUAUGAAAUAAUAAACAUGUCGCAGUCGAGCGCCUAAGCGACACCACAUAAAGGGAUUAUAAGACACAAUAAUAAAUAAUGAACAUCCAGGAGGUAGAACCAUCCCAGGGAUAUUCAACAAUCAUAAUCAUAGUGGUUAGUCCAUAGUAAAAUAAUAUUUAUGAUCAUCCACCAUAUUUCCUUUCUUAACUUCCUCCGGAGACCGACACUUGACUAGUCAACCAGUCAUCCUUGACCGUGGACACGACUACUCGAAUAGUUUCGACUCUACACAGGGUGUACUCUUUACCCACAGCCCACGGGUUUCAAUAGUCACUCGGACUAAUACCGCGUUCGGUAUCUCAGAAGCAAACACUUAGAACCAAUACACACCCAUUUUUCUCCCACAUAGACCGAUAUCACUCGUACUACGCUGCUAGAGAAAAACCAUAAGACAUGGAGGCUCCAACCUCGGCUAGCAUGGGAUCAAAUUUAUAUCGCGCGCUACAAGGGAAGAGCUCUUCCCUCUCGGUCCCCGACCGGAAACACCCAUGGCGGAUGACUGGAUUUAGUCCAGUGCCCCAGAUACCUUCAUCUCGGCCUCUCUACUUGGUGUGUACCUGGUAAUAGUUUACGACCUACUGAAC
RNAcentral lists this long non-coding RNA (1487 nucleotides) under Hordeum vulgare. RNAcentral's name for it is "long non-coding RNA (HVUL_LNC012677)". The record is from RNAcentral. Lineage: Eukaryota; Viridiplantae; Streptophyta; Magnoliopsida; Poales; Poaceae.